Molecule: non-coding RNA, 1025 nt
Organism: Xyrichtys novacula (pearly razorfish)
Lineage: Eukaryota; Metazoa; Chordata; Actinopteri; Labriformes; Labridae
Source: the annotation of a GenBank genome assembly
UGAACACAUCACCUGCAGCUCCGGUGUGUGUGAGAACGUGGGUGACGAGAAAAAAAAACGGAAAAAAAGGGAGAAAAGUCAUGCAGCCGCGGAGCAAAAGUGUCCUCGUUCAGCGGCCAGAUAUCAUGAUUUUGAGUUGUGAGAGAGUUGUGACAGAACUGUAGUUAGCAGAGAGCGUGAAGAGAUACUCACCUGGUGAAACCGAUCACGGGAGGGACUCAAACCGAGAGUUUCUCCGUACUUUUCUGAACUAUUCUGGUGAGUUAACGUUAGCUGCCUCGUUAGCUUGAUUAGUGGUAUCAAUUUUGUUCGGUACAGGAAGAAAAAAGCCAGUCAGAAUAGUAAAUACAUGUUUAGUGGUGUCGAGACAUGUUUUUGUGAUGACAUGAUGAUAUGUUUUUAUUGUGUGUUACUGUGACAAACAGCUAGUAGUUUACCGAGCAGUUAGCUCAGCUGCGGCUUGCUAACUAGGCCAAGCACGGCCGAGUAUUUCAUAUUUUCUGUGUUUUGAGUUGUUUCAUAUUUCAUGUAAUAAGCUGCAUUGGUUAAUGUGCACUGGAAAAGUAAGCAGACAGCCAUUUAAGCUGAUAAUAAUUACGCUGCAUAUUAUGCAGGCUGGUUUUUUUUUUGAGGACGAGUUCUUCUGUUCAACUGUGAUCCGCAUCGUCCGCUGUUGCCCCGUGGAGGCUCUUGGUUCAACAACAAGCCGUAUCACCCGCCAUGCUGCAGGGAGGCUCUUGGUUCAUCGGGACCAGUGUGGACAUCGGUGUGGUAUGGAAAGGUUCUGAGGAGUGACACAUUUUGUUUGCACUUUUUUUCUGAGAUCUCAGUAAUUUUUGGGGGUUUUUAUUUUUAUUUUUUUCCUAUUUUUUGGAAAGGAACGGAACUUAAAAAAACUGUUUUCUUCUUGGAGGACCCUGAAGGACAAUAAAAAAAACUAAGGACAAUCAAACUCAUUAAAAGGGAAAGAAACAUUUUUUUUUCUUUAUCUUAUCCUUAUUAAUUUCUAUAUUGGUACUUCCUGG